RNAcentral lists this ribosomal RNA (741 nucleotides) under uncultured bacterium. RNAcentral describes it as "bacterial SSU rRNA". It matches the Rfam family "Bacterial small subunit ribosomal RNA", at positions 59 to 802 of the family's 1533-position model. The record is from RNAcentral.
CAGUCGAACGGGAUUUAGUAAACAGAAGCCUCGGUGGAAGAUUACUAAUGCGAGUGGCGAACGGGUGAGUAACGCGUGAGCAACCUGCCUAUGACAGUGGGAUAGCCUCGGGAAACCGGGAUUAAUACCGCAUAAAAUCGUAGAAACACAUGUUUUAACGGUCAAAGAUUUAUCGGUCAUAGAUGGGCUCGCGUCUGAUUAGCUAGUUGGUGAGAUAACAGCCCACCAAGGCGACGAUCAGUAGCCGGUCUGAGAGGAUGAACGGCCACAUUGGAACUGAGACACGGUCCAAACUCCUACGGGAGGCAGCAGUGGGGAAUAUUGCACAAUGGGGGAAACCCUGAUGCAGCGACGCCGCGUGAACGAAGAAGGUAUUCGUAUCGUAAAGUUCUGUCCUAUGGGAAGAUAAUGACAGUACCAGAGAAGAAAGCUCCGGCUAAAUACGUGCCAGCAGCCGCGGUAAUACGUAUGGAGCGAGCGUUGUCCGGAAUUAUUGGGCGUAAAGGGUACGCAGGCGGUUUAAUAAGUCGAAUGUUAAAGAUCGGGGCUCAACCCCGUAAAGCAUUGGAAACUGAUAAACUUGAGUAGUGGAGAGGAAAGUGGAAUUCCUAGUGUAGUGGUGAAAUACGUAGAUAUUAGGAGGAAUACCAGUAGCGAAGGCGACUUUCUGGACACAAACUGACGCUGAGGUACGAAAGCGUGGGGAGCAAACAGGAUUAGAUACCCUGGUAGUCCACGCCG